CCUUUUCUGUUAAAUCUGUGAUACUUUUACUAUGAAGUUUUGUGAAAAAUUAUAUCCCAGAACGGAAAGUUGAUAUGCACUACUAUUUAUAUUCAAAGGUCAAAAUAUAGGGCUGUGCAACAUAUUUUCAACAUUUAUAUGCCCUGAGCUUUUAUUUUUGAGUUUAAACUUAAACUAAAAUACUAUACUACCCCUACCUCCACUAUUCAACUUCCUAAGAAUUGAUUUUUUUUUGUUUUUCUAUACUGGUAACAUUCCCAAGUUGUGUCUCUAUGAGAUGAAAUACAGAGAUCAGAUCUAGGAACAAGUACGUUGACAAAUUAACAUAUCUAUAAAAAUUAAUAUUUCAUAUCUCCCCAAAAGAGACAUGACUUGUGAAACAGCUGUAUUUACUAAGUGCAACCUAUAAAAUAACAUGUAUCUUUUUUACGAAAACCUUUUGUAAAAAACCCACUUACAUUCAAACCAUGAAAAUUGAUAACCACAAAAUAAAUUACUUUCACAGUAAAACAACAAAACUGAUAAAAAUGAUGCUUCAUUUGGUCAUUAAAGUUCGAUAUGAACAACAGCU
RNAcentral lists this long non-coding RNA (571 nucleotides) under Mytilus galloprovincialis (Mediterranean mussel). Lineage: Eukaryota; Metazoa; Mollusca; Bivalvia; Mytilida; Mytilidae. The record is from RNAcentral.